AUGCCAGGGCAGGUGGGGCAGCAACCACAAGGAGCUUUGCCUCGAGCUGGUGUCCCCAGGAAAAGCAGCCAGGGGCGACAGGAACGCGGACAGCGCUGGGGCGGGGGCGUCCAGCCAGGCUCGGGAGCGCGGCGCGGGCCGAGGGGGUCCGUGUGCGGGGCGGGGCGGGGGGGGCUCUUCGGGGGUCCGGUCGCGGAGCCCUCGGUCCCACGCGGUGGCAGGUCCCCGACCCUCCGACCUCCGAACCCGGCUGGGCCCCCGCGCCCCGCGCCCCGCCGGGUCGCUCCCGGGGUGUGUCCCCGCGGGCUGGGCGCCGAGGCCACCCCAGGCUCCCGCCGAGCAGGGUUCGAGCCUCGCUGCGCGCGGUGGCCUCCGCGGGGCGGCCCGGGCCCGCGACUUCCUCGCGCUCCCCUCGCGCCCCCCUCGCGCCCGGGCGCAGCCGGGUCUCGUUACCGCCCCGCCCCGCCCCCCCCGCGCCCCGGGGGGUCUCUGCGGCCGGGGGAGGGGCGCCUCCUAAUCAAUCCCAGGCCGGAAAUUCCUCCCGAGGGGCCCGGCCGGGCUGCGGGGCCGGGGCCGGGGCGGGGGGCGGGGGACGGGGGCGGGGGCGGGGGCGGGCUCGGAGCCUGGCGGGCCGCCCGGCCGCCCCUCCUCCUCCCGAGCCCGCCCCCCGCAUCAUGGAAACUGGGCCGCCGGCCGACCCCCUCGCUCCGCUCCGCAUUCCUGCCGCGGGGGCGGGCGGGGCUCGGGAGCUGGGCGGCCCCGACAGGCCCGCGGCGGGGGCGCCCCGGAGCCUCGCGAUUGGGGGCCGCGGCGCCUCCCCGCUCCGGACGGGGCGCGUCUUCCCGGGGGGUUGCCCGUGACUCUCCGGUGGACGCGCUCAGCGGCCCGCCCCCGCCCCCGCCCCGGGCUCCUGUCACUGGGCGCUCGCGGGGUCCCCGGGGGCUGCCCCCGUGUCGCGUGCCCGCCCGCAACGCUGAUUCUCGCCUCUCCGCGUCUUGCGGGGCGGACCCCACUAAGCCCAUUUUCCAGGUGAAGGCGGUGAGGUCCACGGAGGGGGCAGGCUGGCGGGGGGCGGGGCGGGAACCGGGCCGCCUCCUCCGGGGAGCUCCCCGGACGGCGCCCCCGCGAGCCCGCUCCCGGCGCUGGCAUGGGGGGCGCGGGCGGGCGCGGGCGGGCGCGGGCGGGCGCGGGCGGGCGCGCGGGCUUCGGAAGUCCUGGGGCCGCGCGCUCGCUGCGGAGCCGGGCAGGGCUCUCGGCUCCCGGGCUCAGUUUCCCCACGUGGGAAGGCGCGGCCGUCCCGGGCCUCUGCGAGCGGCGCUCCGAGCCACGGGCGCGCACACGCGCUUACCUGCGGCCCUGCGACCUGGGCGGCUGCGGCCUCCAGCGGCGGGGCCCCGCGGGGUGCCGGGGGCGGGGCCCGGGGGCGGGGCCCGGAGGGGCGGGGCCGGGGGGCGGGGCCGGGCCGCGGUGGAGCCGGCGGCAGAGCCGGGAGCCGCGGCGCGCGGACUCGGACCCGGACCCGCCGGGGCGCGGCGGCGCCAGGUGAGCAGGACGAGGGCCCCGGGGCUCGCGCUCCACUUUGCUCAACUUUUCGUUCGGCCCGUCCGUCCGGGAAGGCCCUGGGGCGGGAGCCCGGUCCCCCCCCCCGCGGAGUGCGGACGCGGGCGGAGGCGGGACCCGAGCGCGAGGGACGCGGCCCGCGGCAACUUACCGGCCCGAGACCAGGGCCUCCCCGGGGCGGUCGGCGGGGGUCCCCGGCCAGGGCUCCGCGCCCGCCGCAGUCGGGGUCUCCCCGCACGCCCCGCCCCUGUCCCCGCGGGGAGCCCUCCGGAGUCGGCUCCACACUCCGGGACGACCGGGGAACGGCCGUCGCCGCCUCCCGGGGGCCCCGGGGCUGUGCGGGGAGGCGCACGGCGUCGGCGGGGGUCCCGAGGCCCGGCGUCGGGUCCCGGGGCGCCCCCUCCUCGGGGGACCCCGGCGGGCCCCCCGGCCGCUCUGGGCCGCCGCCUGCAGCUGCGAGAAUCAGGCUCUGGACGCGGCCGACUGCGGCUCCGUGCUAGGCCCCGGGCCUUCCGCACCCCGCUCGGCGGCAGGGAUGGGGUGUCGUGCCGGGCUUCGGGGGUGCGGAUGGGGACUGAGCGGGGCGGCGAGGCCUCCUCCCCCGAGCCUCGCUACGGGUGCCAGCGGCGGAGCGGCUUAGAACCCGGACUGGGGGGCAGGGAGCACGCGCCCCUGGACAGCGAGGUCCCGGCCCCCCUCCCCUGCGACCCAGGGCGCCUGGCGGGGGCCCCGCUCCCCCCACGCCCUCCCUUCGUGGGGGCCACACGGCACACGGCGCAGCUGCUCCUCACCCGGCCCUUCAGUCCUCAGGCCACAGGCCGGGAAGGGCCGAACCGGGCGGCCAGAUGGGGCGGCCCGAGGUGCUGGGGCGGCGCUGCUCCGUCCGGGACGCGGGCCACCGAGGCCUCGGGUGGAGGAGGCCGGAAAGGAGGACAGGCGGCGGGAAAGGGGGAUGAUUCAUCCCGAGGAGCUCGAAUUGGAAACGCUGCAACCCGGGAACAGCCUUGCCCGGGCCGACGGGAGAGUCGGGGAGCGGGGAAGCUCUCCCGGCGGGGCCCCGCGCCCAGCACCUGCAGCCCCCCCGCUCCCCGCGCCCCGUCCGGGCCGCGACCCGGCCGCUGGAGGAGGGGAGGCCUCUUCUGCGCGGAGCGGGAAGCAAUCCUGGGCGAAGUCGGCCGCUGGCCUUGGUCAGAACGGUCUUCCCGGAGUCUAGCUCAAGUCUCUCCUGCUGCAGCUUCCGUGCAGGCUGAGGAGGUCUGA
This 2820-nucleotide long non-coding RNA is filed under the name Canis lupus familiaris (dog). RNAcentral describes it as "lncRNA (ENSCAFG00845008373.1)". The record is from RNAcentral. Lineage: Eukaryota; Metazoa; Chordata; Mammalia; Carnivora; Canidae.